Molecule: ribosomal RNA, 253 nt
Filed under: uncultured bacterium
Lineage: Bacteria
Description: partial 16S ribosomal RNA
Rfam family: Bacterial small subunit ribosomal RNA
Source: RNAcentral
UACAGAGGGGGCGAGCGUUGUUCGGAAUUACUGGGCGUAAAGGGCGCGUAGGCGGCCAACUAAGUCGGACGUGAAAUCCCCUGGCUCAACCAGGGAACUGCGUCCGAUACUGGAUGGCUUGAAUCCGGGAGAGGGAUGUGGAAUUCCAGGUGUAGCGGUGAAAUGCGUAGAUAUCAGGAGGAACACCGGUGGCGAAGGCGGGUCUCUGGGCAGUAACUGACGCUGAGGAGCGAAAGCGUGGGGAGCGAACAGG